RNAcentral lists this long non-coding RNA (303 nucleotides) under Eucalyptus grandis. RNAcentral's name for it is "long non-coding RNA (EGRA_LNC006128)". The record is from RNAcentral. Lineage: Eukaryota; Viridiplantae; Streptophyta; Magnoliopsida; Myrtales; Myrtaceae.
GUGGCUCGGUGAAUAGUACGUCAUCUCGGAGAAUGCACGUGGCUCGGUGAUUUGGUAUAUCACUUCGGAGAAUGCACGUGGCUCGAUGAUUAGUACGUCGCCUUGGAGAAUGCACGGAGCUUGAUGAUUAGAUAUAUCACCUCGGAGAAUGCACAUGGCUCGGUGACGAAGUAUGUCGCUUUGGAGAAUGCAUGUGGCUCGGUGAUUAAGUGUGGCAUCCUAAAAGAGACACGUGGGCUCGGUAAUUUGAUGCAUUACCUCGGAGAAUGCACGUGGUCUCAAUGAGUACAUUUGGCAUCUAAA